GCACGCACCGCGCUUUAUGCGCCGCCUGGCCCCGCCCCGCCUCGCCCCGCCCGCGCGGAGGGCGGGAGCCGCCGCCAUGUCGGGCGGCGCUUUCGGCUCUGAGGUUUCGUGCGCGCCUCCGCUCUGGUGCCGCCUGGGGCGCGUGGCGCGCUGUGCUGCAGGGGGGCGGCCGCCAUUUCGCGGUGCGGCUGAGGCAGCGCGAGGGGCCGCGCGAGGGCGGGCGCCUCCGGCAGCGGAUCGCUGCUGUGCCCGCUCGUCCUCACAGCGAGACUGUCAUGGGUUUUCCUCCAAAAAUGACAAAUGGAUCACAGCCACAUUGUAACUGAAGCAGGAAACUCAGACCUGUUGGCAGUAGCAGAUUUAGAGGCAAACAACUACCCUACUAGUGGCAGAUUCCCUGGCUGAGUCCAUUCAUGCAGGAUUUAUCCUAAGGAAAUACCAGCCUUCCAAUUGAAGUCCAUUUGAGACAAGGUGAACCAGCAGUAUAAGAGCUUCAGUAAUAGCACUGUCUAGUUACUGUCACUGCAACUAGAACUAAGUGCGAAACAAGAUCCCAUUCUAAACACAAUCUGAAGUAUGGGAAUGCAUUUUAAUAUCAUGGAAAAAACAUGCAUCACAGUAAAUCCACACUGCUGCUCAUUAUGUAGGCAUAUUGUGGCUACCUACAGGUCAGCAUUCUCCAAAAUAAAUUUUGCAGAUUCUUCUUUUUUUGUAAGAUCCAUCACUGUUAGUUUCAGGGUGGAAAUCAUGAAAAAUUACAUCUCUUCCUUUGGGAAGUGAGGGUUUCCUAAUAACAGGUAAAAUAAUUUGCUUUAAAAAAAUCCCCUGAAGUGAAUUUCGUUAUUCCCCUCUACAUGUUGCACUCUUUCAGCUCAUGAAUAACAAAAUGACCCAUUGAAGAAAGCAAAUAAUACCUCCUGAAUGAACUUUGGCUACCCAAUUACCCACCUUGUAUAUCAUGUUUAGAGUCCAAGCUGUUAUUAAAAUAGGAAACUUAGACAGCAGUCAUUAAGCCCAGUAACACAGCAGUGGAAAAGGCUUCACUUUGUUAAGUUUUGUAGGCAGCAUAUCUAUAAAGCCAAUUCUCAGGUUCUUAUUCAGGGCAUUGAAAUGGGACAUUUGACUGCAUUUCUCCAAGAAAUAGUGGCAUGGUAGCACUCUUGACAAGAACCGCUAACAAAUGCAGCACUUUACAAAAGCACAGAAGCACUUUAAGAAAAGCAACGUAAAAGCUGCUAGACAUUAGAACUGGCUUAAGGCUUUGACAUUUUAGAAAGCAGUAAUAAGUGCUUUCCUUCCAAUAUCAGAAAAUAACAACUUGAAGACUAGAGUCCAUCCAAGCAAAGGAAUACAGACAGAUAGGACAUUUCCUUUGGUGAAGGAAAACGUACUGCAUACUCUCUCUGGUCUCUUCUGCUAUUAUUUUAUAAUCUGAACAACUAGAAAAUUAACAUAAAAAUACUUCCAGAAUCUUCUUGAAAAUCCCAAGCUGCUACUUCAGAGCUUAUGUGCUCUGUAUUUCCUUUUGGAAGUAGGAUGGAUAGGCAUUAAAAAGGUCUAAAGAGACUGAAAUGGACUGAAAUUCAGUGGCUUUUUCUGCCACAUCAUACUCCUAUCAUUCAAUGACCUGCCUCUUUGGGAAUCAGGGUCGAACCACCUUCUUCCACCUCAAAGCAGUGGCUUAGAAGCAGCUCUACUUGCAGAACAUCAGCUCUAUGAGAGGCUGGAAUAAUAAUGUCAUAAAUUCUGAAAAGAAACAAGGUCACUAUAUCAAUUGUUAGCAUAAUAGUUACAAGACUGAUGUAUCAUACUACAUACUUUGUUUUCCCUAUUCCCUUUUAAAAGUGACGAUUUUUAAAGGGAAGUUCUCUGUACAACUAAAGGAGUGCAGAAUUUCACAGUUUACUAAAUACACAGCAGAUUCUGGGACAGCAAGAACAGUAGUGUCAUAUUGCCAAAUAUUUUGGGAGAAACACGGGGAAAGAUGCAUUCAUUUAUGAAAAAGUUGGUGGUAAUUUAAGCAGAGUCAGAUAAGAUAAGGAAAUCUGAUGGAAGGAAAACAAUAUUAGCCAUUUAAGAUCUGAAUAUGACAAGGUUGUUUUAGAACAGACCUUAUACAUUUUUGUUUUGUAAUGGGAUCAUUAAUGAAAGGUAAGACUGCAAGUGAGCCCAACCUAAUGUAGACUGAUGAUCACAUACUGAAGCUCCAGCUCAUUCUGUUGCAGUCAAAAGAUUUUAUAAAGACUAGAAAGUGACCAUAGAAAGAUUUAUUAUUUCAAAGAUUAUUAUUUUAAAGAAAGAAUCCAAAAAGAUGCGUCUUUGCAGACAGCACUUCGCUAGUACUCAGAAAUGUAUAGUUUAUACAUUUACCAACACUAGCCUGUUAGAUUACUGCAGUCAGGGUAUUUCUUAUUUACCUCAGUUUCUGAUCUUAUUUUUUAUAUUUCUUUUCUUUGUGGAACAUUCUAUAGUAUCAGCUGAAUUAAAGUGUAAUGUAAAGCCUUUCAAUUACAUAUAGUAAGCAAUCAUUCUCAUCAGCACUUGCUGCAUCAAGAACAGGAGUCAACAGAAAAAAAAAAAGUGACUGUAGUGCUCUAGAAAAAACCCCACACUUAUCUAUAACUCACUUGUGUUACCUAGAAUCCACACGUGGCCAUGAAUUCUUCCAUCAUGUGGCUCUUACUAUAAGGUCUUUCACAAAAGGAAGCUUCUCUUAAAUAGCACCUCUAUGAUGAUUGAUGCAUUUAUGAGCAUUGAAAUAGGGAUAACUGUGGCAAAGUACCUUAAAAUUCACAGGAAACAGCACUAUCAACAAAUGACUUACUGAAAAGAUCCGUUCAAAGAGAAAACUAAGUUGCAGCAGAUAUGUGCAGGGAGGCCAUCUACACUGCUAUCGAUGUGAUAUUUGUUUCCCAGUUUUGUUUGAUAAAUAGCUUAUAAGUUGUAAGAAUUUGCAAUACAAAGCCUCAGCCUAGCAAGUUUCUUUUAAUUUUUGAAUGUACAUCAUUUAAUUCUACAAAUGUUAAAAAAAAAAAACAAAACCUUUACAAUGUUUUUUGCGCUUAUAAUGAUCAAAACCAACUUGAUUCCAUCAAAUUUUGUAUGCAGUUAAUGUAGCCCAAUUGCUUUUGAUAAUGCAAAUAAAAAAGGCUGAGACAUUUAGCUCAGAGUUACAUGUGCAGUAACUGCUUUCUAUGAUGAGUUACUAUACACACUGUAUAUAAGAAGUGUUGCUACAGAUUACCAGUUAAGUACACAUGAACAUAGUUCACAUCCAAAUGACACACUGCCAUGGGUCAGUCCACAGUGCCAAUUUCUGUUGCUAGAGGGAAAGUUUCGUUUAAUUUUUUAAAGUACUACUUCCCCAGAAUUACUAGGUGCAAGGCAAGGUUAUGACUCAAAUUACAAGCAAACAAGGAAACUUGAAACUAGAGAAAAAUCAUUCCAACCUGUUGCACCAGGUUUCCUGUCAUAAUCACAAGGUUAGUUUAAGCUCCCAUGAAUACAGUUGCACUAAUACACUGCGGCACAAAUUACAAAAUGUACCUACAUUACUUUUGAAUUUCCUCAACCUUGCCAAUUUUUCACAUUCUCCACAUCACUAAAUAGUAAUUAUUUAUAUGUUGUUGAUAAUCAUUGUACAGUUACGCCAUAG
Molecule: long non-coding RNA, 3655 nt
Organism: Phasianus colchicus (ring-necked pheasant)
Lineage: Eukaryota; Metazoa; Chordata; Aves; Galliformes; Phasianidae
Source: RefSeq, a predicted model, not a curated record